Long non-coding RNA from Pogoniulus pusillus (Red-fronted tinkerbird), 1620 nucleotides. RefSeq lists it as uncharacterized. The transcript is spliced from 4 exons. The record is from RefSeq and is a predicted model, not a curated record. Lineage: Eukaryota; Metazoa; Chordata; Aves; Piciformes; Lybiidae.
GGCUGAGCUCCUCUGUGUUUAACUGCUGCCUUCUGCUCACUUGUGAAACUGUAAAAAGGGCAGGACUGAAUCUGUGAAGCAUUUUGUGAAGCAUUGAAUGAGCAUGGAGGGAAUGUCUGAGAGUCCCUGACAAGCCUCAGCCAUGAAAGUCAGGAAAAGUGUACAGCAAGCGAGAAACUUCGGAUGAAAGACAGCUGCUUCCAAGCGCACCAUGGGAAAUGAAAACCCAGAGAACUCCCUAGCCUGAGGAAAGCUGGAGAGGUUCUCAAAUGCCUGAUCACAGUUAUUACUGAGCUGAGAUUCUUUGGAUCAUCUCAAACCACUCAGGAGCACUUGGCUGUCCUGUUGGCAUGACUGCAAACCUGCUACAUAUUCCAGAGAGGUUCAUCUUAGUGCCGCCGUGGAGUCCCCAUCAAUCCUCUGAGGCUUAAACAGCACUAGUAAAAUGAGGUAAUUAGCUAUAAAUUAUCUGAGCCUCAAGACAGAGCAAUCUCCAUUGUGACAGUUCCCUGCUAAAUGCAAGGAUCUCCCAAAGAGGUCUCAUGGUGGACAUUUUAGUGGACACAAGACAAGGACUUUGAGGAGCUCCGUUCUACAGACAGGGCUGCAACCAACUUGUCAAAUGAUUUUCAGCAGGUCUCCUCUUCACCCAUUUUGCCUAUAAAACGGGAGAGCUCCGAAAUCCCUGGGUGAACAAGAUGAGGAACCAGGAAUUCAUUCUUCAGGUCUAAGCAUUAGUAACAACAGCAGUCAUCCUCUUUACAGAUGUCCCUGCCCAUUCUGUCACAAUCCAGUAUGUAGAAGAAAAGAAAUUUGCUUAGACAUGGACUUUUUUAUGGGACAUGAAAUAGGCAUGAAGUUCUUGGCAUGAGAAAAGUUCACUCCGAGCAACAGCUCCUAAGAAAACCAAGACAGUGUGAAACAAAGUUGAAAUGGAAAUCCCCACUGUAAAUUCAGCUCUUGGUACCUGUCAAAGAUAUGACAAAACCUCUGCCCAUGGCGAAUGGCUGUCCUUGUGAAAAAGUAAAAAUCUCUGGAGCUUCCAAGGUGGAAAUUCAUGCAGAGAUUCCAUUUCAGUGAUCAAACUCUUCCACCGGAGCUCUGAAUGAAUUUCCACUAACCUCCUUUCAUCCAACUCCAUCUCCAGCAGGAUUUCCUUCAACUAUAAAAACACACACAUUGCAAUUAACCAGCCUGCACAGACUCCCCACUUCAUUUACGUGUGCUGGACAUGGCUUCUGCUGUGAGCAGCCCAUCCAAAGAGUACUCUUUGAACUAUUCUACAGUUCCUCACAUUGCAUAUUGCAUUGUCCAAUUUCAUCACUCCUGGCAAGGCAGAGUGCUCCUGCAGCUCGUUACAGGAGUAGCAGACGAUAUGAUGAAGCACUUUGUGCAGCUGGGUAUCUCAGAUGGACACAUGAGCUUGCCUACCACUAACUAUAGGACUUGCCUAGUCACCACACAGACCUUCCUUGACCAGUUGUGCUUACAUGACCUUACAGGAAGCCCUCUCUAAUCUGCCCCCGGAGGGGCAGAAAUCAGGGAGGAUGGUUUUAAAAAUAAAUAAAUAAAACAAAAUUGGGGGGAAAUAAAAUACCUAAAAUUAAAGAUUUAAAGCAA